This 232-nucleotide unclassified non-coding RNA is filed under the name plant metagenome. Its description in RNAcentral is "partial contains small subunit ribosomal RNA and internal transcribed spacer 1". The stretch from base 1 to 47 matches the Rfam family "Eukaryotic small subunit ribosomal RNA", at positions 1785 to 1831 of the family's 1831-position model. The record is from RNAcentral.
AAGGUCGUAACAAGGUUUCCGUAGGUGAACCUGCGGAAGGAUCAUUACAAGGUUCUUAGUGACAUCUCGAAACGAGAUCCCUCCCAAGGUAUCCACCCGUGUCUAUAUACUCUUGUUGCUUUGGGCGGGGUCGUGGCCUCCACCUGCGGGCUCUGCUCGUACGUACCCGGCCAGAGGGACCAAAGCUCUGAAUUGGUUAGUGAUGUCUGAGUACUAUAUAAAGUUAAAACCU